AGUGAACGCUGGCGGUAGGCCUAACACAUGCAAGUCGAACGGCAGCACAGUAAGAGCUUGCUCUUACGGGUGGCGAGUGGCGGACGGGUGAGGAAUACAUCGGAAUCUACUUUUUCGUGGGGGAUAACGUAGGGAAACUUACGCUAAUACCGCAUACGACCUACGGGCGAAAGCAGGGGAUCUUCGGACCUUUCGCGAUUGAAUGAGCCGAUGUCGGAUUAGCUAGUUGGCGGGGUAAAGGCCCACCAAGGCGACGAUCCGUAGCUGGUCUGAGAGGAUGGUCAGCCAAACUGGAACUGAGACACGGUCCAGACUCCUACGGGAGGCAGCAGUGGGGAAUAUUGGACAAUGGGCGCAAGCCUGAUCCAGCCAUACCGCGUGGGUGAAGAAGGCCUUCGGGUUGUAAAGCCCUUUUGUUGGGAAAGAAAAGCAGCAGGUUAAUACCCCGCUGUUCUGACGGUACCCAAAGAAUAAGCACCGGCUAACUUCGU
This 491-nucleotide ribosomal RNA is filed under the name uncultured bacterium. Its description in RNAcentral is "partial 16S ribosomal RNA". It matches the Rfam family "Bacterial small subunit ribosomal RNA", at positions 29 to 506 of the family's 1533-position model. The record is from RNAcentral.